GAUGAAGAACGCAGCGAAAUGCGAUACGUAAUGUGAAUUGCAGAAUUCAGUGAAUCAUCGAAUCUUUGAACGCACAUUGCACUCUCUGGUAUUCCGGAGAGUAUGCUUGUUUGAGUAUCAGUAAACACCUCAAAUCUCUUGUUUCUUGUGAAUAAGAGAAUUGGACUUGAGCAAUCCCAACUCUUGCAAAAGAGGCGGGUUGCUUGAAAUGCAGGUGCAGCUGGACAUUCUUCUGAGCUAAAAGCAUAUUUAUUUAGUCCCGUAAAACGGAUUAUUACUUUUGCUGCAGCUAACAUAAAGGUUGAAUGGCCAAUAUGGCUGACUGAUGCAGGAUUAACAGAGAAUUUAUUCUUUGUAACCUCGAUCUCAAAUCAAGUAAGACUACCCGCUGAACUUAAGCAUAUCAAUAAGCGGAGGA
This 418-nucleotide unclassified non-coding RNA is filed under the name soil metagenome. RNAcentral describes it as "partial contains 5.8S ribosomal RNA, internal transcribed spacer 2, and large subunit ribosomal RNA". The stretch from base 1 to 120 matches the Rfam family "5.8S ribosomal RNA", at positions 35 to 154 of the family's 154-position model. The record is from RNAcentral.